CGCGCAGGCGGUCUGAUAAGUUUGACGUGAAAGCUCCUGGCUUAACUGGGAGAGGUCGUUGGAAACUGUCAGGCUUGAGGCAAUGAGAGGGGUGCGGAAUUCCCGGUGUAGUGGUGGAAUGCGUAGAUAUCGGGAGGAACACCAGUGGCGAAAGCGGCACCCUGGCAUUGACCUGACGCUGAAGUGCGAAAGCGUGGGGAGCGAAC
This 206-nucleotide ribosomal RNA is filed under the name uncultured bacterium. Its description in RNAcentral is "partial 16S ribosomal RNA". It matches the Rfam family "Bacterial small subunit ribosomal RNA", at positions 568 to 773 of the family's 1533-position model. The record is from RNAcentral.